AUUGAACGCUGGCGGCAGGCCUAACUCAUGCAAGUCGAACGAGUGGCGGACGGGUGAGUAAUGUCUGGGAAACUGCCUGAUGGAGGGGGAUAACUACUGGAACCGGUAGCUAAUACCGCAUACCAUCAGAUGUGCCCAGAUGGGAUUAGCUUGUUGGAGGGGUAACGGCUCACCAAGGCGCCGAUCCCUACCUGGUCUGAGAGGAUGACCAGCGAAACUGGAACUGAGACAAGGUCCAGACGCCUACGAGAGGCAGCAGUGGGGAAUAUUGCACAAUGGGCGCAAGCCUGAUGCAACCAGGCCGCGUGUAUGAAGAAGGCCUUCAGGUUGUAAAGUACUUUCAGCGGGGAGGCGUUACCCGCAGAAGAAGCACCGGCUAACUCCGUGCCAGCCGCCGCGGUAAUUC
RNAcentral lists this ribosomal RNA (406 nucleotides) under uncultured bacterium. RNAcentral's name for it is "partial 16S ribosomal RNA". It matches the Rfam family "Bacterial small subunit ribosomal RNA", at positions 30 to 526 of the family's 1533-position model. The record is from RNAcentral.